Long non-coding RNA from Oncorhynchus nerka (sockeye salmon), 2317 nucleotides. RefSeq lists it as uncharacterized. Lineage: Eukaryota; Metazoa; Chordata; Actinopteri; Salmoniformes; Salmonidae. The record is from RefSeq and is a predicted model, not a curated record. The transcript is spliced from 4 exons.
GUGUUACCUAGCUAGCCUCUGUAUUUGGUGUUUUUGUCGUGACCAACAACAGUGGCAUCGGGAUUCGCCUUCAAAAUAAGUCACCCAUUAACUUGCAAACGGAUUUUUUUUUAAACUAAUUGGAAUUAUGCCACAAUUGUUCUAAACAAGGUUGUAAUGUUAUACACAUUCAGCCUACUCGGGAACACAAAAUGAAAAGUUUACACAUGUUCGCGUUGUAGCUCUUACUGUACUACUUAAACUAUGGACAAUCACCUCACUAUUCAACCUAUUGUACUUGUUGAACAUUCAUAUUAGGCAAAACGCAUAUUACCCCCAUUUCAUGGACUCAAGAUCAGUGGGUAUCAGCUUACUUUCAAUUUCAUGGACCCAAUAUCCGUAGGUAAGGUAGUGGACCGUUCAGCCCGUUCUCUUAUUGAGGUGGAGUUUCAGGUUUGAUUGCUGGUCGCGGGAUUUGGUAGCAACAACAUUGAGUCUCUGUCAGUCGAUUCUUGUAAAAGUGUCAAUUCUGAAAACGCUUUACCUGUACAACUGCGGUUUUUCCGCGGGGUGCUGAAAUUAUUUUUUUUGUUAAAAGGAUACAACCUCCCAAGUUGUUCUCGUUUGUGCUGCACAAAUCCGCACGCAUGUGCCAAUUGAAUCUCAGUUUACGUAGUACGACCGACACACGAGGAAGAAGUCAGUGGUUUUAUUUGAUAAGUUUAAAGUAUGAAUUUUCAGGACCGCAGUUGUAAAGGGCAAACCGGUAAGGUAAGCGUUUUCAGAAUUGACUGAAGGUGACUGUUGUUGCUAGCAAAUCCCGCGACGGUUAUCCAAACUCAACUAUAAAAGAAAGUAGAGGAGUUGAGCGUUACUCGCCUAUAGGCAAGGCUGUACAUUUCAAGAUGAAUGUUAAAUACACACAAUAGGCUGAACAGUUAGGUGAUUUCCAACAGCUGAAGUCCCGCAAUAAGAGAGACGAUAAUAUGUGUAACCUGUGGGUGACGCUGAGUAGGCCGGACCCAAGAUCAUGGAUCCAAGAUCCUGAGGGGUCAGUAUUUGGCACUUCUUCCGCGCUUGUAAAGGUGCCAGCAUGCUUCCCAGUCGAAACAGUUCGUGCAUAUAUUAUGUUUGUGGACUUCGUUGAGGGUUCUGGAGACAAGCCGAAGUUCGGAGCCGAAGUUUACUGAUCAUUUUCCAUCAAUGGAUGUUUUUUUAUUUAUCCUUUAUUUUACCAGGUAAGUUGACUGAGAACAAGUUCUCAUUUACAGCAACGACCUGGGGAAUAGUUACAGGGGAUGAAUGAGCCAAUUGUAAAUUGGGGAUUAUUAGGUGACCAUGAUGGCUUGAGGGCCAGAUUGGGAAUUUAGCCAGGAUACCGGGGUUAACACCCCUACGAUAAGUGCCAUGGGAUCUUUAAUGACCUCAGAGAGUCAGGACACCUGUUUAAAGUCCCAUCCGAAAGAUGGCACCCUACACAGGGCAGUGUCCCCAAUCACUGCCCUGGGGGAUUGGGAUAUUCUUUAUUUUUUAGACCAGAGGAAAUAGUGCCUCCUACAGGCCAUCCAACACCACUUCCAGCAGCAUCUGGUCUCCCAUCCAGGGACUGACCAGGACCAACCCUGCUUCAGAAGCAAGUCACCACCAAGCAAGUGGCAAUAUGAAGACUAAGGAGCUCUCCGAACAGGUACUGACAGGAGGCAUGACGAGGACGCUGAUCCAGUGGACCUGGUGCCAGUAAGGAUGGUCGUCACGGAGGCGAUAAGACCGUCCAGGAUAGAGAAAUCCUUCGACUUCACUGCCUUUUCAAUGACGAUCCCACAGAUGAAGAAGCUGGAAGUGGAGGUCCUGGGCUGUCCUGGUUACACAUGGUCUGUGGAUGUACUGCCAAAAUAUCUUACAAAGUUGGAGGCGGCUUAUGGUUUUAUUGUCCCCAGCACAAGGUGCACCUGUGUAAUGAUCUUGCAGUUUAAAUCAGCUUGAUAUGCUACACCUGUCAGGUGGAUGGAUUAUAUUGGCAAAGGAGAAAUGCUCACCAACAGGGAUGUAGACAAAUUUGUACACAUUUUGUGCAUAUGGAACAUUUUAUUAUUUCAGCUCAUGAAACAUGGGACUAACACUUUACAUGUUGCCUUUUAUAUUUUUAUUCAGUGUAAAGUUAUUUGAUUGAUUGACAUUACAGCUGUAAAAUAUUUAACAAGUGCAGUUGUUCCAUAAACGUUCAAUUGAUAACUUGGGAUUGUAUCACUUGACAUAUCUAUCAUACAGUGUGAAGGAUCCUAUAAAUCAAGACUGAAUGCAUGUGCCACUCUGAAUAAAUAAAUACUGUGACUUUGAA